AUCCUACGGGAGGCAGCAGUGGGGAAUAUUGCACAAUGGGCGGAAGCCUGAUGCAGCGACGCCGCGUGAGGGAUGACGGCCUUCGGGUUGUAAACCUCUUUCAGUAGGGAAGAAGCGUAAGUGACGGUACCUGCAGAGGAAGCGCCGGCUAACUACGUGCCAGCAGCCGCGGUAAUA
This 177-nucleotide ribosomal RNA is filed under the name uncultured bacterium. Its description in RNAcentral is "partial 16S ribosomal RNA". It matches the Rfam family "Bacterial small subunit ribosomal RNA", at positions 335 to 525 of the family's 1533-position model. The record is from RNAcentral.